UGCGGGGUGGAGCAGUGGUAGCUCGUUGGGCUCAUAACCCAAAGGUCGUUGGUUCGAAUCCAGCCCCCGCUACCA
This 75-nucleotide transfer RNA is filed under the name Bacteroidota bacterium. RNAcentral describes it as "Bacteroidetes bacterium (sediment metagenome) tRNA-Met". It matches the Rfam family "tRNA". From Rfam's summary of the family: Transfer RNA (tRNA) molecules are approximately 80 nucleotides in length. Their secondary structure includes four short double-helical elements and three loops (D, anti-codon, and T loops). Lineage: Bacteria; Pseudomonadati; Bacteroidota. RNAcentral also lists the same sequence under 1 other name. The record is from RNAcentral.